ACGGGAGGCAGCAGUGGGGGAUAUUGCACAAUGGGGGAAACCCUGAUGCAGCGACGCCGCGUGAGUGAUGAAGUAUUUCGGUAUGUAAAGCUCUAUCAGCAGGGAAGAUAAUGCCGGUACCUGACUAAGAAGCCCCGGCUAAAUACGUGCCAGCAGCCGCGGUAAUACGAAUGGUGCAAGCGUAAUCCGGAUUUACUGGGUGUAAAGGGAGCGUAGACGGCAUGGCAAGCCAGAUGUGAAAGGCAGGGGCUCAACCCCGGGACUGCAUUUGGAACUGUCAAGCUAGAGUAUCGGAGAGGUAAGUGGAAUUCCUAGUGUGGCGGUGAAAUGCGUAGAUAUUAGGAGGAACACCAGUGGCGAAGGCGGCUUACUGGACGAUAACUGACGUUGAGGCUCGAAAGCGUGGGGAGCAAACAGGAUUAGAUACCCUGGUA
RNAcentral lists this ribosomal RNA (434 nucleotides) under uncultured bacterium. RNAcentral's name for it is "partial 16S ribosomal RNA". It matches the Rfam family "Bacterial small subunit ribosomal RNA", at positions 341 to 792 of the family's 1533-position model. The record is from RNAcentral.